RNAcentral lists this ribosomal RNA (253 nucleotides) under uncultured bacterium. RNAcentral describes it as "partial 16S ribosomal RNA". It matches the Rfam family "Bacterial small subunit ribosomal RNA", at positions 524 to 776 of the family's 1533-position model. The record is from RNAcentral.
UACAGAGGGGGCAAGCGUUGUCCGGAAUUAUUGGGCGUAAAGCGCGCGCAGGCGGUCCUUUAAGUCUGAUGUGAAAGCCCACGGCUCAACCGUGGAGGGUCAUUGGAAACUGGGAGACUUGAGUACAGAAGAGAAGAGUGGAAUUCCACGUGUAGCGGUGAAAUGCGUAGAGAUGUGGAGGAACACCAGUGGCGAAGGCGACUCUUUGGUCUGUAACUGACGCUGAGGCGCGAAAGCGUGGGGAGCAAACAGG